Molecule: ribosomal RNA, 253 nt
Filed under: uncultured bacterium
Lineage: Bacteria
Description: partial 16S ribosomal RNA
Rfam family: Bacterial small subunit ribosomal RNA
Source: RNAcentral
UACGUAGGGGGCAAGCGUUGUCCGGAAUCAUUGGGCGUAAAGCGCGUGUAGGCGGCCAGAAAAGUCCGCUGUGAAAACUCGGGGCUCAACUUCGAGCUGUCGGUGGAAACUUUCUGGCUAGAGUCCGGAAGAGGAGAAUGGAAUUCCUGGUGUAGCGGUGAAAUGCGCAGAUAUCAGGAAGAACACCCGUGGCGAAGGCGGUUCUCUGGGACGGUACUGACGCUGAGACGCGAAAGCGUGGGGAGCGAACAGG